CAUUGACGAACGCUGGCGGCGUGCUUAACACAUGCAAGUCGAACGGAAAGGCCCUGCUUUUGUGGGGUGCUCGAGUGGCGAACGGGUGAGUAACACGUGAGUAACCUGCCCUUGACUUUGGGAUAACUUCAGGAAACUGGGGCUAAUACCGGAUAGGAGCUCCUGCUGCAUGGUGGGGGUUGGAAAGUUUCGGCGGUUGGGGAUGGACUCGCGGCUUAUCAGCUUGUUGGUGGGGUAGUGGCUUACCAAGGCUUUGACGGGUAGCCGGCCUGAGAGGGUGACCGGCCACAUUGGGACUGAGAUACGGCCCAGACUCCUACGGGAGGCAGCAGUGGGGAAUAUUGCACAAUGGGCGGAAGCCUGAUGCAGCAACGCCGCGUGCGGGAUGACGGCCUUCGGGUUGUAAACCGCUUUCGCCUGUGACGAAGCGUGAGUGACGGUAAUGGGUAAAGAAGCACCGGCUAACUACGUGCUAGCAGCCGCGGUGAUACGUAGGGUGCGAGCGUUGUCCGGAUUUAUUGGGCGUAAAGGGCUCGUAGGUGGUUGAUCGCGUCGGAAGUGUAAUCUUGGGGCUUAACCCUGAGCGUGCUUUCGAUACGGGUUGACUUGAGGAAGGUAGGGGAGAAUGGAAUUCCUGGUGGAGCGGUGGAAUGCGCAGAUAUCAGGAGGAACACCAGUGGCGAAGGCGGUUCUCUGGGCCUUUCCUGACGCUGAGGAGCGAAAGCGUGGGGAGCGAACAGGCUUAGAUACCCUGGUAGUCCACGCUGUAAACGGUGGGUACUAGGUGUGGGGUCCAUUCCACGGGUUCCGUGCCGUAGCUAACGCUUUAAGUACCCCGCCUGGGGAGUACGGCCGCAAGGCUAAAACUCAAAGGAAUUGACGGGGCCCCGCACAAGCGGCGGAGCAUGCGGAUUAAUUCGAUGCAACGCGUAGAACCUUACCUGGGUUUGACAUGGAUCGGGAGUGCUCAGAGAUGGGUGUGCCUCUUUUGGGGUCGGUUCACAGGUGGUGCAUGCCUGUCGUCAGCUCGUGUCGUGAGAUGUUGGGUUAAGUCCCGCAACGAGCGCAACCCUUGUUCACUGUUGCCAGCACGUUAUGGUGGGGACUCAGUGGAGACCGCCGGGGUCAACUCGGAGGAAGGUGGGGAUGACGUCAAGUCCUCAUGCCCCUUAUGUCCAGGGCUUCACGCAUGCUACAAUGGCUGGUACAGAGAGUGGCGAGCCUGUGAGGGUGAGCGAAUCUCGGAAAGCCGGUCUCAGUUCGGAUUGGGGUCUGCAACUCGACCUCAUGAAGUCGGAGUCGCUAGUAAUCGCAGAUCAGCAACGCUGCGGUGAAUACGUUCCCGGGGCUUGUACACACCGCCCGUCAAGUCAUGAAAGUUGGUAACACCCGAAGCCGGUGGCCUAACCGUUGUGGGGGAGCCGUCGAAGGUGGGACUG
This 1439-nucleotide ribosomal RNA is filed under the name uncultured organism. RNAcentral's name for it is "partial small subunit ribosomal RNA". It matches the Rfam family "Bacterial small subunit ribosomal RNA". The record is from RNAcentral.